UGAUAAUUAGUUUAAAUCAAAACAAAUGAUUUCGACUCAUUAAAUUAUGACUUAUCUCAUAAUUAUCAA
This 69-nucleotide transfer RNA is filed under the name Elasmotherium sibiricum. RNAcentral describes it as "tRNA-Arg". It matches the Rfam family "tRNA". Rfam says of the family: Transfer RNA (tRNA) molecules are approximately 80 nucleotides in length. Their secondary structure includes four short double-helical elements and three loops (D, anti-codon, and T loops). Further hydrogen bonds mediate the characteristic L-shaped molecular structure. tRNAs have two regions of fundamental functional importance: the anti-codon, which is responsible for specific mRNA codon recognition, and the 3' end, to which the tRNAs corresponding amino acid is attached (by aminoacyl-tRNA synthetases). tRNAs cope with the degeneracy of the genetic code in two manners: having more than one tRNA (with a specific anti-codon) for a particular amino acid; and 'wobble' base-pairing, i.e. permitting non-standard base-pairing at the 3rd anti-codon position. Lineage: Eukaryota; Metazoa; Chordata; Mammalia; Perissodactyla; Rhinocerotidae. The record is from RNAcentral.